Molecule: transfer RNA, 65 nt
Filed under: Ceutorhynchus albosuturalis
Lineage: Eukaryota; Metazoa; Arthropoda; Insecta; Coleoptera; Curculionidae
Description: tRNA-Asn
Source: RNAcentral
UUAGUUGAAACCAAAUUAGAGGUAUAUUACUGUUAAUGAUAAAAUUGAGAAAAUCUCCAACUAAA